This 253-nucleotide ribosomal RNA is filed under the name uncultured bacterium. RNAcentral's name for it is "partial 16S ribosomal RNA". It matches the Rfam family "Bacterial small subunit ribosomal RNA", at positions 524 to 776 of the family's 1533-position model. The record is from RNAcentral.
UACGAAGGGGGCUAGCGUUGUUCGGAAUUACUGGGCGUAAAGCGUGCGCAGGCGGCUUCUCAAGUCAGGGGCGAAAGCCCAGAGCUCAACUCUGGAAUUGCCUUUGAGACUGAGUGGCUUGAGUACGAGAGAGGUGAGUGGAAUUCCCAGUGUAGAGGUGAAAUUCGUAGAUAUUCGGAAGAACACCAGUGGCGAAGGCGACUUACUGGACACAUAUUGACGCUGAGGUGCGAAAGCGUGGGGAGCAAACAGG